Molecule: ribosomal RNA, 720 nt
Filed under: uncultured bacterium
Lineage: Bacteria
Description: bacterial SSU rRNA
Rfam family: Bacterial small subunit ribosomal RNA
Source: RNAcentral
AGAGUUUGAUCCUGGCUCAGAUUGAACGCUGGCGGUAUGCUUAACACAUGCAAGUCGAACGGAAACGAUAGAAGCUUGCUUCCAGGCGUCGAGUGGCGGACGGGUGAGUAACGCGUAGGAAUCUACCCAGUAGUGGGGGACAACCAGAGGAAACUCUGGCUAAUACCGCAUAAUCCCUACGGGGAAAAGAGGGCCUCUUCUUGAAAGCUCUUGCUAUUGGAUGAGCCUGCGUCAGAUUAGCUAGAUGGUGGGGUAAUGGCCUACCAUGGCGACGAUCUGUAGCUGGUCUGAGAGGAUGAUCAGCCACACUGGGACUGAGACACGGCUCAGACUCCUACGGGAGGCAGCAGUGGGGAAUAUUGGACAAUGGGGGCAACCCUGAUCCAGCCAUGCCGCGUGUGUGAAGAAGGCUCUAGGGUUGUAAAGCACUUUCAGUAGGGAAGAAAAGUUAAUAGUUAAUACCUAUUAGCCCUGACAUUACCUACAGAAGAAGCACCGGCAAACUCCGUGCCAGCAGCCGCGGUAAUACGGAGGGUGCGAGCGUUAAUCGGAAUUACUGGGCGUAAAGCGCGCGUAGGCGGUUUGGUAAGCUGGAUGUGAAAGCCCCGGGCUCAACCUGGGAAUUGCAUCCAGAACUGCCUGACUAGAGUACAGUAGAGGUGAGUGGAAAUUUCCUGUGUAGCGGUGAAAUGCGUAGAUAUAGGAAGGAACAUCAGUGGC